This 71-nucleotide transfer RNA is filed under the name Trichiosoma vitellina. RNAcentral describes it as "tRNA-His". The record is from RNAcentral. Lineage: Eukaryota; Metazoa; Arthropoda; Insecta; Hymenoptera; Cimbicidae.
ACUUAAAUAGUUUAUUUAAAACAUUGAUUUGUGGUGUCAGAAAUAUAAAUAUUUAAAAUUUAUUUUAAGUU